RNAcentral lists this ribosomal RNA (405 nucleotides) under uncultured bacterium. RNAcentral's name for it is "bacterial SSU rRNA". It matches the Rfam family "Bacterial small subunit ribosomal RNA", at positions 355 to 776 of the family's 1533-position model. The record is from RNAcentral.
UGGGGAAUAUUGGACAAUGGGCGCAAGCCUGAUCCAGCAAUGCCGCGUGAGUGAAGAAGGCCUUAGGGUUGUAAAGCUCUUUCGGCGGGGACGAUGAUGACGGUACCCGCAGAAGAAGCCCCGGCUAACUCCGUGCCAGCAGCCGCGGUAAUACGGAGGGGGCUAGCGUUGUUCGGAAUUACUGGGCGUAAAGGGCGCGUAGGCGGUGCGAUCAGUCAGGCGUGAAAGGCCCGGGCUCAACCCGGGGACUGCGCUUGAUACUGUUGCGCUGUGAGUCCGGGAGAGGAUGGCGGAAUUCCCAGUGUAGAGGUGAAAUUCGUAGAUAUUGGGAAGAACACCGGUGGCGAAGGCGGCCAUCUGGACCGGCACUGACGCUGAGGCGCGAAAGCGUGGGGAGCAAACAGG